Molecule: ribosomal RNA, 466 nt
Filed under: uncultured bacterium
Lineage: Bacteria
Description: partial 16S ribosomal RNA
Rfam family: Bacterial small subunit ribosomal RNA
Source: RNAcentral
GAUGAACGCUGGCGGCGUGCUUAACACAUGCAAGUCGAACGAUGAAGCCCAGCUUGCUGGGUGGAUUAGUGGCGAACGGGUGAGUAACACGUGAGUAACCUGCCCUUAACUCUGGGAUAAGCCUGGGAAACUGGGUCUAAUACCGGAUAGGAGCGCCUACCGCAUGGUGGGUGUUGGAAAGAUUUAUCGGUUUUGGAUGGACUCGCGGCCUAUCAGCUUGUUGGUGAGGUAAUGGCUCACCAAGGCGACGACGGGUAGCCGGCCUGAGAGGGUGACCGGCCACAAUGGGACUGAGACAGGGACCAGACUCCUACGGGAGGCAGCGGUGGGGAAUAUUGCACAAUGGGCGAAAGCCUGAUGCAGCGACGCCGCGUGAGGGAUGACGGCCUUCGGGUUGUAAACCUCUUUCAGUAGGGAAGAAGCGAAAGUGACGGUACCUGCAGAAGAAGCACCGGCUAACUACGUG